RNAcentral lists this ribosomal RNA (497 nucleotides) under uncultured bacterium. RNAcentral's name for it is "partial 16S ribosomal RNA". It matches the Rfam family "Bacterial small subunit ribosomal RNA", at positions 28 to 507 of the family's 1533-position model. The record is from RNAcentral.
GAUGAACGCUGGCGGCGUGCCUAAUACAUGCAAGUCGAGCGAACAGACGAGGAGCUUGCUCCUCUGACGUUAGCGGCUGACGUGUGAGUAACACGUGUAUAACCUACCUAUAAGACUGGGAUAACUUCGGGAAACCGGAGCUAAUACCGGAUAAUAUAUUGAACCGCAUGGUUCAAUAGUGAAAUACGGUUUUGCUGUCACUUAUAGAUGGAUCCGCGCCGCAUUAGCUAGUUGGUAAGGUAACGGCUUACCAAGGCAACGAUGCGUAUCCGACCUGAGAGGGUGAUCGGACACACUGGAACUGAGAAAGGGACCAGACGACUACGGGAGGAAGCAGUAGGCAAUCUUCCGCAAUGGGAGAAAGCAUGACGGAGAAAGGCCGAGUGAGUGAUGAAGGUCUUAGGAUCGUAAAAAUCUGUUAUUAGGGAAGAAAAAAUGUGUAAGUAACUAUGCACGUCUUGACGGUACCUAAUCAGAAAGCAACGGCUAACUACGUG